RNA transcript from Scleropages formosus (Asian bonytongue), 3152 nucleotides. It is a transcript of the gene named glucocorticoid modulatory element-binding protein 1-like, with no coding region annotated. The record is from RefSeq and is a predicted model, not a curated record. Lineage: Eukaryota; Metazoa; Chordata; Actinopteri; Osteoglossiformes; Osteoglossidae. The transcript has 16 exons.
CUCGCCUUCAGGAAGUGUGGAGAUGCACAUGCGCACUAACAUUUCUUCUGGCCAAUUAUGUGUUCGCCGCAGUAAAACGCAUCCUGGGCAAUGGCAAAUGCGGAGCUCACCAUGUCUGCAGGGAACGUGGUGACAGAGAAUGAUAGAGACCCCGACGAUGGCUCAGAGGUGCCGGUCAUCCUGCGAAUCCAGCCCAACUCACAGGAGAUACAUGAGGACUCUGUAGAGGCAGAAGAUGCUGUUGAGGCAGUAGAACCAUGCCAUGAACAUGGGCCCACUCAGGAGGAGGAAGUUGAGUAUGGAUACCCCAUAACAUGUGGUGAUAGCAAGGCUGUGCUGCUGUUUGAGAAGUUUGUCUGUCCUGGAAUCAAUGUUAAGUGUAUCAAGUACAAUGACCAGGUCAUCAGCCCUAAGCAGUUUGUGCACUUAGCUGGAAAGGCCACCCUGAAGGACUGGAAGAGGGCUAUCCGGCUCGGCGGGGUCAUGCUCCGGAAGAUGAUGGACUCGGGUCAGCUUGACUUCUACCAGCAUGACACAGUUUGCACUAACACCUGUCGCAGCACCAAGUUCGACCUCCUGAUCAACAACACCCGCGUGCCCCCCCAGGGCAGUGUGCUAACAAUCUCCACCUCCCCUCAAGGAAACGGAAGCCAGGUGGCAGCGAUGGUGGAGGAGGAGGAGGAGGGGGAGCAGAGACCGGAGAAGGUGGCUGUGACCUCACUGGAGUCAAACCCCUCUGUGCCUGACAAAGACUUGAAGGAGGACGACAUACCUGAGGAGACACUGAGCUUCUGGAAGGGCAUCGCAGACGUGGGGCUUGUGGGGGAAGUGGUGUCCAACAUCCGCACAGAGCUGCUGGCCGUGCUCAGGGGAGUACAGCUGCGCAGUGGUCAGUCUACACUUCAGGCCCCCGACGCUGCCGUACUGAACAGCCUUGCCCACGUGUUUGGGAUGCUGGACUGCGUGAAGCGGGCUCUGCACGCCCACCGAAGCUGUAUGGAUGACAGUCAGGAGCUGGUCCACAGCACCCUAACCGAGCUGGAGCGGCAGCUGGAAGAGCAGAAGAAACAGGCUCGUGACUGGUGCUUACGGUCUCUGCCCAAUUUCAUCCUUGUGUCCCCGGGCAGCAGCUCCUCCAAGCCUCCGGCACCCAAGCGGCCAAAACUGCAGCGGCUCGCCUCCGCUGCCAUGCUGAGCGCCUCCUCAGUCCUGCAGCCGAGUCUGAUGACCUCCCAGUUUGCCAUACUCUCGCCCAUCUCUGUUGGCUCUGUAGGACAAUCCUUCAAUAUUGCCAGCGUGCCUGUGGCUACAGUGGCUCAGCUGCCUGCAAGUUCACAGCUUGUCACCUGCUGCACAAGCAGCAUACACUCCAAGGCCAACUAUUUCAGCCUCCAGCCAGCAUCCAGCGUGACGCUGCUCCGCACUGCACCUGGGGUACACGCUGUACAGAUGGGGGGCAGUGCAAAUUCCGUAGAGCUGGUGCGUCUGGCCCAGGAGUCGGAGGACGGGGCAGUGGGUGUGGCUGAAGGACAGGCGGGUGAACCAGAUGGAGGGGCCGUGGUGGAGGGAACGAUGCUGAUGCGGGGGGAAGUGGGAGAUGAAGGUUCGGCGCACACUACGGUCAUUGAGAUUGAUCCCGCACCAGGCAACCACACGGUCCAGUUGGUGGGCCUGCAGCUAGCUGGCAAGGAGGGCGGGGUGGUUCUGCGGCGUCACAUGCCCAUGGUGGAAGAGGAUGAGGGUGGGUCCCUGAUUCAGGACGGCAUGGAGGUGGUGGAACACAGUGAGGAGAGGGCCACUGUAUCACUGGAGAACCCGGAACAGCUGCAGGACAUGGAAAUCAUGUCCAAGCUGACUUCGAUUUACUGUGUGAUGUCAACUGACGAGCAAGCUUGGGCUGAAGUAUGAACUCUGCCUCGGGAUGCAGUCACACAGUGUAAGAUGACCCCACCAUCUGUGCCAGCGUUGCUGAAGCUCCAUCACAUGAUCACUCCUGAAUGCAUCUGCAGGUGCGGCGUUGGGCGAUGGUGGGGUGGAGCACCCGCAUAACGUAUACCGACUUCUGCAAUCCCACGGUUUUUGACCACCCACCCUCCGUCCAAGCCACCAGAAACCGUCUAUUGUGGAUCCAGCAAGGCAACCGCUCCGUGGCAGACUACGCAUUGGCGUUCAAAACAUUGGUCGAGCAAGGCAGAUGGAACACCGCAUCCCUCCUGGCAUGUUUUCGGAACAGGCUCCAACCUUGCCUCCAAGCCAAACUGGCCUAUUGUGGAGGGGAGUGGAUGCUGGACUGCUUCAUGGAAACAGCUGGACAACCUAGCCCACAAGAGGACCCUGAGGGGGUGGGUGGUGACACCAACUUCUCCUUCCUGGGAGGAGGACCCUGAGCCAAUGCAGAGUGAACAAAGUCGACUGACCCCGGACGAGAGACAAUACCGCGUCCAAGAGCGCUGGUGCCUGUACUGCGGUGUUCCUGGUCACUAUUUCUCCUCCUGCCCCAUGCAUCCACCACGAGAGACCCUCCUGGAACCUCAGUGGGUGCACGAUUCUCCAGCUGCAGGACAUCCGGGUGCCUGUCGGACUCUCUCCCUCCUGCAGAGGCAGUUCUGGUGGUUCUUCAUAGCUGAUGGCGUCCGAGAGAAUGUGGAAGCCUGUUCCACAUGCUUUCGGUCCAAGACCCCGACAUCGAAACCUGUAGGUCUGCUGGAACCCCUGCCGGUACCCACGUGCCCAUGGUCUCACGUGGCCAUGGAUUUCCUGGUUGACCUUCCCCUGUCCGAAGGGAUCACCCGGACUGCCUGAUUCCUUGUUGCCAGGGGCGCCCCCCUUCUCGGCAUAAGGCGGCUAGGGCCACCCUUAUUUGGGGGGGUACUGUCAUGCCCUCAUCCAGCGGCCAAUCAGCGACACCUGUGGCCAAUCCGAGGAGCACAGCAUAAAAGGGUGCCCUGGAAGCACCUCAUCAAGUAACCUCCAACGAGAAACUGCAGAGCGUUUCUCUCUUGCUUUCUGGUUGUGUCUUUCUGGUUAUAUUCCUUGGAUUGUUUCUUCAACUACGAGUAUUGCCUCUUCCCUUGAACAACGUCUGCCGAUCGACAAACCCUUGAUCAACUUCCGACCAUCCUUGUGAUCAGCCCUUUCAAUAAAACAACGAG